AGGGAAUAGAUACCCGGGUAGUCCUGGCCGUAAACGAUGUCCACUAGAUCGUGGUGGCUCUGACGCCAUCACGGUCGAAAGCAAAAGUGCUAAGUGGACCGCCUGGGAAGUACGGUCGCAAGGCUAAAACUCAAAGGAAUUGACGGGGGUCUCACACAAGCGGUGGAGCAUGUGGUUCAAUUCGAAGCAACGCGCAGAACCUUACCUGGGCUUGACAUGCUAGGAUUAUCCCUAUGAAAGUAGGGUAGGCCCUCGGGUACGACUAGUACAGGUGCUGCAUGGCUGUCGUCAGCUCGUGUCGUGAGAUGUCGGGUUAAG
RNAcentral lists this ribosomal RNA (318 nucleotides) under uncultured bacterium. RNAcentral describes it as "bacterial SSU rRNA". It matches the Rfam family "Bacterial small subunit ribosomal RNA", at positions 773 to 1084 of the family's 1533-position model. The record is from RNAcentral.